UAAACUAGGAUUAGAUACCCUAUUAUAUUAUAUGUAAAGGUAGGUUUGGGUAGUAGUAGAUAAGAUCUUGAAAUCCAAAGAAUUUGGCGGUGUUUUAGUCUAUUUAGAGGAAUCUGUUCCAUAAUUGAUAAUACACGAUAGUUAAACUUAUGAUUGUAAUCAGUUUGUAUACCGCCGUCGUAAGAGUAUAUUGUAAAGAGUGUAAAUUUUCUUUAAUUAUAAUAUUAAUUUAAGUCAGGUCAAGGUGCAGCUUAUUUAUAAGAGGAAAUGGAUUACAAUAAAUUUAUUUAUACGAAUAAUACAUUUAAAGUGUAAUUUGAAGGUGGAUUUAAUUGUAAAUAAGUUAAUAUUAAUUUAUUGAUUGUAGCUCUAAAAUGUGUACAUAUCGCCCGUCGCUCUCUUUUUAAAAUGAGAUAAGUCGUAACAUAGUAA
Molecule: ribosomal RNA, 432 nt
Filed under: Oecanthus symesi
Lineage: Eukaryota; Metazoa; Arthropoda; Insecta; Orthoptera; Gryllidae
Description: partial 12S ribosomal RNA
Source: RNAcentral